This is a long non-coding RNA of Mus musculus (house mouse), 4823 nucleotides long. RefSeq annotates it as RIKEN cDNA 2010203P06 gene. The record is from RefSeq and is a predicted model, not a curated record. NCBI's taxonomy places the organism in Eukaryota, Metazoa, Chordata, Mammalia, Rodentia, Muridae. The transcript is spliced from 6 exons.
UAUUAUUUAUGUUCAGUUUUGGUCUAAGUUUUCAAACUUAAAGAAAACCCUAACUACUACUUAUGCAAUUAAUGGAAAGCACAGGCAUAAAGACAGAAGUGUCUAAUUCUCCUCACAGUUAUCAGAGUUCCCAUCUUACAACUUUAAGCAUUUUCAGCAGAAGCAGAAACUGGCCCAGUACCUGAUGUGUGAAGUCAAGGUAUAAGCUACACGCUAUAACAGACCGUAGAAUCAUGGCCACACCUUAUCCUGCCGGCCUCGGCCCCAUAAUCCCUGAUGCCUUCUCUGUUCUGCCUCACAGGAAGGACGAGAACCUGAGAGGCUACAGAACAACUGAGAGAAACGGCAAGCAGACAGUUGUGGAAUUUUCUGAUGCAAUCUAACUGGAUGUCUGAAUUGGGACCUAUGUGCCUUUUUGGAAGAUCUUCAGGUCGAUGACACUCAUUAUCAUAUUCUUAAGGCUGGUUACCUCGGUAACCAGGGGAAGCCUGCUUUGAGUCCUUACAUGUCUGAAGGCUGUAGACUGAUCUACACUCAACCUCCUUUCUUCAGAACCCAACAAUGUGCAUGUCGGAAGUGAUGGCUCAUGCCGGAAGUGAUGGCUCAUGCCGGAAAUGAUGGCUCAUGCCCGUCAUCUCAGCCAAUGAGAGGCUAAGGACUGAUUCAUGGCUAAGCCUCCACAGUCGGACAUUGCCUCAUUCUGGCGGUGAGACUCGGGCCUCUGUCAGGCCAAGUUUAGACAAGAGUUCCAAGGCACAACUUGACCCCCACCUCCUAAGUUUCCACCACCAACUGGAGAUCAACUGUUCCAUGCAUAAGCCUUUUGGAGACGGGGUCCAUAUUCAACCCAGGACAUCAACACCAAGAAAUGAGUCAUGUUCCAGUUUAUAGAUAAGGUAGCCAGCCUUGUCUGAUACCAUGCUGUGUACGUGUCCUGAAAUAUCACGCUGCAUCCAACAAUCCCAUGCAUCUGGCAAUCAUAGAGAAUCUUCUGAUGUUUCAUGUUUACUACCCUAGUUGCUCAACUAUGCAGCACCACAGCUAACGUGUUGGGUAGUCUCUUCAAACUCACAAAAUUCACAGACCCAGGGAAACAGUCCUAUUCACCAACAAGUCAAAGCUACCUGGGACUGGACAUCAUUCUUUUUAAGACCCAAAAUGAAGACCUUCUGUGACCUUCCAGAAUCUUCUAUUUGUGGCAUGUUCCUGGAAAGCCACAAGCCAGUAUUCUUUGUCUUCCCAAGAGCACAAAGCUAAUUCUUACACUACCAAAACAUCAGAAUCUCAUGGUUGGCUCCAGAGGUUUGGCGGUACAAUCCUGGCCACAUAACUUCCCAUUCCUCUGCUGAAGAAGGUCCCACUUAACUUAAACCAAUCUGUGCAUUUUCCAGUUUCUUGACCCUCAGUGCUGAUUCUCCCUGUGGUUUAUGGCAAAAGAAGUUGCUCAAUGACUGAGAAUCCAGAGGAGACUGUGAAACCCGGGGGAGAACCCAAGCACAACAUAGGAGGCUGGGCUCAACUAACUUGGCUUCAAGACUUCAAGCUACACAUGAAGAGUUUGAGUCACAGACCAAGGUGCUCAAGGCUGACCUUGCCUCAAGGAGGGAGGUCAACCACUUGAAUCAAGCCAGAUCCAACCACCUCCAUAGGAUCUCUUGCAUGAAGGAAGGUCUAACUGUCCCUACUAGGUCCUUUUGCAUGUCUGUCUGUGGCCCCAGUCACUUGAUUCUGUCUCAGGCAUGUGGUGGCCUUUUGUAAGCAUCCACAGAUGGGAAUUACCCUCUCUUGCUUCCUCCCUUCUAGACCACAGAACAGACAAGAAUUUCAUCUAUAGGAAGUACAGGGUCCUGAGCUAAUGGUUCCCAGGGUGCCAUUUCUACUAUAAGAGGUUUCUAUCCCAAAUCUAGCCUCUGCUGCCACCUUUGACCCGCAACCCCAAGGAUCACUUAGAAGCAUUCUAUGGCCUUCUUCUGGAGGAGACAUCUUGGGCUAUGCAGUCUUCAUGGGUUGCUGUCAUCUACUCUGAGGUCCUUGCCAGGUAAACAUUCAACAUGGGCCGAUGCCUCCAGCCAAGUGAAGCCUCUGAAAUAAAAACACACAGGCCAUGCUGCUGGGACCGGUAGCUGCUAGCUGGGGAAAGGACUCCCAUUCGUUAUUGUCCCAGAGCUGACACUGUGCCAAUCCCCACAUCUGGAAUCGAUUAGAAAGAGAGAGCCUGAAAGCCUGGGUCUCAUGACCCUGCCUGCCUGCCUUUCCAUUUAACUCUCUGGUUAGAAGUGAUAACUUGGGUCUCCAGAGUAAGUAUAGAAAGUAAAGGAAAAAAUAACUUGCAAUGGCACAGCAUCAUUAUUUCGGGCGGGGGGAGGGGCUUCAGUGAGCCUUGUAUCUAAAUAAACACUUGUUGGAGGUUGCACAUUGUGCUGUAUGUUAAUCACCGUGCUGAGCCUUAGUGAGCCCAGCCUUAUGACCUGUGUCCUUCCCAAACUUGGCAGACUCUGCCGCAUUGUCCCAGGGGCUCAGUAGAAUCUGUGCUUAUUGGAUUUGGUCCCAGAGAGAAAGAGCCUGGUGUUUGCAGACCAUAAAGGCCUCCACUUGUUGCCUUGCCUUGUCUCCUUGAAACUGCAAGCAACCAGAAAGUUCAGCAGAAGCCCGAAUAGCACCAACCCACGAUGCUGGCUGGUGUUCCUGCAGAUGACAUGAGGACCCACAACUAUCAGGGCCUACUUUGGGGCUUCUUGCUUUUGGAGAAGUGGCCCAAAGAAGAAUGAGAUGAUCCACCUUUGAGAAGACAAUGAAUCAAACCUCUCCGUGUUGAGAAUAUGCUACACCAUAGAGGGGAGGGUCAAAGAUGGAGAUUUAAUGUAAAAAGUCAGGACGGCAUUAUUUGCUCAGUUGGAAUUAGUGCAUUUAAACAUGACUUCUUUAUGCUCUUCUGAGUCUCCCAAUUUAUCAAGUACUAACAGGAACCAGAAAGCCAGCCGGAUAGACGUCUACAGUUUCUGCCUGAAGAGUUGCAGGCUACCUUGCUGACACAGCUUCCCUCUCAUUCAGAUGAUGAAUCACCUCUUCUGGGAAGAGUCUGGGACCCCUGCCCCCCUCCCUGCCCACACCAGCUGUAUGGCGUGGCAUGCGGUUGGUACUUCCCUCAGGAGCUGCUUUUGCAUAGAGCCUUGUAUUAGGCGCUGAUUUCACCGUGUGUGCGUCUGGCUCCCUAUGGGCUGAGUGCCUCCCGCCCGCCAGUCAUGACUCAGUCCUGUCUGGAAGCGGCCCUGCGGCCCACUCCAGGCUUGCUCCAGAGAGAGCUCAGACAGAUGGAAGACCCCACCAAGGCCUACUUUCUGGAGUGUGCUGACUUCUGAAAACUGCCAGAACAUUUCUUUUCAAAGGACUGACUAAUAAUAGGAUCAACUCAGCCCCUGAUGUGUGGCUGCUGCAUUAGAAAGGAAGUAACUUUUGUUGUUGCAAGACUUUGAUGCCCUAAAUGUUAAACAAUGCUACUAGUUUAACUAAUUCACAUACAUGGAACACAUAUUUGAUCAGUAAUGAAACAAAAGUAUUUGAAGUUCUUUCUUUCAGUGUGCUCAGCCACCCCUUCAUUGGGGCACUUCACUUCUUAUUUCCUGUGACUUUCCGGUGCUUUAUAGAAGUGGUGACUGCUUCGUGGAUAUGAGUCCAUCUCCAGAGGGAGCCGCAUUAGGAAAGCCCGGUCUGCCUUGCCACAGUCAGAGGAAUUGCUUCAAUAUAGAAGGUUAAGGAGGGGUCUAGACAGUCUAAGUGGAAAGAUGGAAGCAGGCUGGCUGCUGCCAGACUGUAUUUAGGAGUCCCUGAGGGCUGGGAAGAUUGCUCUGUGGGUAAAGGCACUCACCAUCAGGUCUGAAGGCUUGAGUCCCGCCUGACUUCCAUCCUUGGUACUGACAUGGUAGAAAGAGAGAAAUGACUCUUGGAAGUUGUCCUCUAACCUGAACAUGUAGCCUGUGUCAAGCACAUGCACAUAAACAAACUAGCUAACUAACUAAACUAACUAAACAAACUAACUAAACAAACUAAACUAACUAAACUAACUAAACUAACUAACUUAACUAACUUAACUAACUAACUAAAAGAAUCCCUUAUAGACUAAGGCAAUAAAGUUUGGCCUGGGCCCUAGAUCCUUGACAUGAGGGCUAGAAAAUAUCUCCUCCAAGAGGCCCCAGUAUUCAGAAAGUGAAAUACUAGUUGUAAGUUACUUAGGUGUCCAUGCAGAUGCCAGGGAUGUACUUCAGACCUAAGCAUGAAGGUCCCCUAUGCGCUCAAAUGAGUGUCUGCUUCCUUGUUGUACUUCUAGGAUUUGAACCCAGGGCCUUACGCUUGCUAGGCAAGCCCUCCACCACCAAGCUGCAUCCACAGCCUGCUCCGCUGCACUUUUAUUUUUUAUUUUUUUGUUGUUGAAAUUCUGAAUGCUUCCUCAGAGUUAGCACCUGAAAUAGGAUUGUCUGGAGAGAUCAGAGAGUCAUAGCCAGGGGACCAGGGGUGUAGCUCGCUGACUAGAAUCCCCUCUGGUGAGCCUGCGGAGCACCGUCCCAGAGAGACUUACCAAAUCAUAGAUAAGAGCUGUUCCUUAUGCUAGGAGUGGAGACAGUCUGCUGGUGAGCUCUGUCAUUUGUUUGAGACACAGUCUCUCACUGUGUAGCCCUGCCAGGCCUGGAACUUGCUAUGUGAGGUCUGCCUGCCUCUGAGGCCGGGUAAGCAACACUAAUUCACAGGACCUUGACUUUGAGGUGAAUCUGAACUUGGGCUCAGUGCCCUCUAUACUCUGGAGAACACUGGGCUACCACUUUCCUUAC